This 500-nucleotide ribosomal RNA is filed under the name uncultured bacterium. RNAcentral's name for it is "partial 16S ribosomal RNA". It matches the Rfam family "Bacterial small subunit ribosomal RNA", at positions 30 to 523 of the family's 1533-position model. The record is from RNAcentral.
AUUGAACGCUGGCGGCAGGCCUAACACAUGCAAGUCGAGCGGAUGACGGGAGCUUGCUCCUUGAUUCAGCGGCGGACGGGUGAGUAAUGCCUAGGAAUCUGCCUGGUAGUGGGGGACAACGUUUCGAAAGGAACGCUAAUACCGCAUACGUCCUACGAGAGAAAGCAGGGGACCUUCGGGCCUUGCGCUAUCAGAUGAGCCUAGGUCGGAUUAGCUAGUUGGUGGGGUAAUGGCUCACCAAGGCGACGAUCCGUAACUGGACUGAGAGGAUGAUCAGUCACACUGGAACUGAGACACGGUCCAGACUCCUACGGGAGGCAGCAGUGGGGAAUAUUGGACAAUGGGCGAAAGCCUGAUCCAGCCAUGCCGCGUGUGUGAAGAAGGUCUUCGGAUUGUAAAGCACUUUAAGUUGGGAGGAAGGGCAGUAAGCUAAUACCUUGCUGUUUUGACGUUACCGACAGAAUAAGCACCGGCUAACUCUGUGCCAGCAGCCGCCGUAA